AUGGUCGCCGUCGUGCCCCCGCCUCCGGCGCCUCUCCCCGCCGCCGCUCGCGGCCGAAGCCGGAGCCCUCGUCGAGGCGGGCUUGAUCCCCGCCAUGGUUGCGGCGCAGCAGGCCACGCUGCACGCGCAGGUGGACCAGCUCCAGCGCCUCGUCGUCAACCCGCUCGCCCAGGAGAUGGUCAGGAGCCCCUCCCCUUUCUCCAAUCUCUGCAUCGUCGGCUCUGCGCGCAGCUCCGCGAGGCGGAGUGCGAGGCCGUGGUGGCCGUCCUCGCGCCGUAG
RNAcentral lists this ribosomal RNA (279 nucleotides) under Triticum aestivum (bread wheat). Its description in RNAcentral is "partial small subunit ribosomal RNA". Lineage: Eukaryota; Viridiplantae; Streptophyta; Magnoliopsida; Poales; Poaceae. The record is from RNAcentral.